CUGCGGUUCUGGCGAAGAGCAGUCCUCCCCGAGUUCAGUGUGCGCCUGUGCUCCCCUCGUUGUGGAUUCCCUACCUCCUGUGUCCUCCCUCGACGCUGUCGGUGCUACCGGUCAGAAGCCACCCCUCGUGUGUCCACCCUUUCCUCUCGUCGAUCCCUCUCUGGUGGAACCCCCCUCAUUCCAACAAGACGACCCGGUCAUCAGCACCAGGAGUCGCGUCCUGACCCCUCCCCUGACUUCAAUAAACUGAUUAUUGUGCACUU
This is a long non-coding RNA of Xiphophorus couchianus (Monterrey platyfish), 263 nucleotides long. RefSeq lists it as uncharacterized. The record is from RefSeq and is a predicted model, not a curated record. The transcript is spliced from 2 exons. Lineage: Eukaryota; Metazoa; Chordata; Actinopteri; Cyprinodontiformes; Poeciliidae.